CGGAUGAAGGGUGCCCGGGACCCGGUCUUCUCCCUCACGGGAACACUUUUUUCUAAGGUGACCUCUGAGCAGUAGAGGAACCUUCUUUC
RNAcentral lists this ribosomal RNA (89 nucleotides) under Fonsecaea monophora. Its description in RNAcentral is "partial 28S ribosomal RNA". The record is from RNAcentral. Lineage: Eukaryota; Fungi; Ascomycota; Eurotiomycetes; Chaetothyriales; Herpotrichiellaceae.